RNAcentral lists this ribosomal RNA (520 nucleotides) under uncultured Glomus. RNAcentral's name for it is "SSU rRNA". It matches the Rfam family "Eukaryotic small subunit ribosomal RNA", at positions 569 to 1091 of the family's 1831-position model. Lineage: Eukaryota; Fungi; Glomeromycota; Glomeromycetes; Glomerales; Glomeraceae. The record is from RNAcentral.
AGCAGCCGCGGUAAUUCCAGCUCCAAUAGCGUAUAUUAAAGUUGCUGCAGUUAAAAAGCUCGUAGUUGAAUUUCGGGAUCAAUAUGUUGGUCGUGCCUCGGUACGUACUAGCUUAUUGGUUUCUCCCUUCUGACGAACCAUGAUGUCAUUUAUUUGGUGUUAUGGGAAAUCAGGACUGUUACUUUGAAAAAAUUAGAGUGUUUAAAGCAGGCUCACGCUUGAAUACAUUAGCAUGGAAUAAUGAAAUAGGACGUUUGAUUCUAUUUUGUUGGUUUCUAGGAUCGACGUAAUGAUUAAUAGGGAUAGUUGGGGGCAUUAGUAUUCAAUUGUCAGGAGGUGAGAUUCUUGGAUUUAUUGAAGACUAACUACUGCGAAAGCAUUUGCCAAGGAUGUUUUCAUUAAUCAAGAACGAAAGUUAGGGGAUCGAAGACGAUCAGAUACCGUCAUAGUCUUAACCAUAAACUAUGCCGACUAGGGAUCGGAUGAUGUUAAUUUUUUAAUGACUCAUUCGGCGCCUUAC